GCUGAGUGAGUGUUCAGAUCAAGUGCCAACGAAUAAAGGGAGAUAUCAAAAAUUGGUUGGCAAACUUAUAUACUUGUCUCAUACUCGUCCAGAUAUUGCCUAUGCCGUAAGUGUAGUUAGCCAGUUUAUGCAUAGCCCUAGCAAAGACCACAUGGAUGCUGUGACUCGAAUACUUCGAUAUCUAAAGUCCUCACCAGGGAGGGGACUGAUGUUUUCAAAGAAUGAUCACUUGAAAGUUGAUGGCUAUACAGAUGCAGAUUGGACGGGGAACAUUUCAGAUAGGAGGUCUACCUCAGGCUAUUUCAUGUUUGUAGGCGGUAAUCUCGGUACAUGGAGAAGUAAGAAGCAAAAAGUGGUAUCAUUAUCGAGUGCUGAAGCGGAGUUUCGUGGAAUGGCAAAAAGGAUUUUGUGAACUCCACUGGAUCAGAAAACUGCUCACUGAACUUGGCUUUGCUCCUAUUACUGAGAUGGAUCUAUACUGUGACAACAAAGCUGCCAUUGCCAUAUCUUAUGACCCGGUUCAACAUGAUAGAACAAAACAUGUGGAAAUAGAUCGACACUUCAUCAAGGAAAACUUGAUAGCAAAGACAAUUCGUUUCCCUUUUGUAAAGUCCGAGGAUCAACUAGCAGACAUACUCACAAAAGCAGUUUCAAGCAAGGACUUUCACAACUCACUUGACAAGUUGGGCAUCACAGACCUGUAUGCAUCAAUUUGAGGGGGAGUGUUGGCAUGAGUUGUUAGAAAUCCUUUUCUGGAAACAUAAAUCAUAUAUAAGUGUAUCAUUUUAAGGGAAUAGAAUUAGGCAAUUAUGUGUAGAAUCAAUUAAUUAGCUACAGAUUUGUGAUUAUCCAAAAUUAGGAGUUUUUUUUUGCUAUAUAAACUCUGUAACCC
RNAcentral lists this long non-coding RNA (892 nucleotides) under Olea europaea subsp. europaea. The record is from RNAcentral. Lineage: Eukaryota; Viridiplantae; Streptophyta; Magnoliopsida; Lamiales; Oleaceae.